Non-coding RNA from Marmota flaviventris (yellow-bellied marmot), 1546 nucleotides. The record is from RefSeq and is a predicted model, not a curated record. NCBI's taxonomy places the organism in Eukaryota, Metazoa, Chordata, Mammalia, Rodentia, Sciuridae.
GGGCACCAGCCUGCCCAGAGGCCUCUGUAGACGUGAGCCCCACGGGGAGAGGCAGCCUUGGCUGAGCUCCCUGAGCUCCACGUGGAAGGUGGAUGGCUGCUCGGCUGCCGUUCCCCAGCCCUCCCCAUCCAGUCCUGACUUGGAUUCACAUCUCCUCUGGCAGCAGCUGGCUGCUCUUGCUGCAAGGUGGGAAAGGGAGAUCAGCUUCGCCCACAGCGUGAAGUAGCGGGAAGUGUGCUGGUGCUUCUGUGGCUGGCAGAGGUCUUGGGAGGGAGCUGCCUUGCUGUGUGUUUUGGCCAGAUAGUUUUGCCUCUCUGGGCUCAUCAGUAAACAGAGACAGAGGGCUAGAGCGCUGGCGAAAGUUUUUCUGGUCCUUCCCAGGGAGGGCAGCCCACUCCUGGGGGGAGGAGGGGCACCCCAGAAGGAAACUCAUCUCUAACUUGGAUGCUUAUUCUGAGAUCUGAGUCUGGGUCAAGCAGGGCCCACACCCAGCCCUGCAACCCUGAGAGCAUUUAAAAAGACCCGAGUGACCAGCUGGGGUCCCCUUGAGCCUUGGUUCCCUUGGUCCUUCCUUGAGGAGGGCUGAAGCCCAGCUUUACAAAUGGGGCUGGAAGUUGGGACCGGCCUGAGUUGUCUAGGAGUUAGCGUUUGCUCUAAAUAGAAUCAUACUGUCCCCUAUUUAGUAGAAUGCAAAUAAAAGUGGCAAUACUGUCUUUCUUAUGAAUGACCUGGCACUGCUAUUCAGGUUAUCUAUUCCAUUCUUACAAUAACCCAAAGAGGUGGGAGUGACAUUAUCAUUCUUCUAUAGAGUGACAACACUGAGGCAGAGAGGUUAAGUAACUUACCCAGAGUCACACAGCUGAGACACUUGGCAGAACAGAACUUGAGCCCGGGCCUAUCAGAGCUAGAGUUCAGGAGAUAACCUCUAGGCUACACUGCCUCUUCUCACCGUAAUCGUAGAAGUCCUGGAGGGACGUUUACUGAACAGCUCUGCCUCGGAGUCCUUUGCUGGAGGCUGAGCUGGAAAAAAUGAUGAGAAGACUCGAGAGCCCUCUCACACACGAUUUCAGGUCAUAGUAAGAGGACCUCAGGAGAAUCGAUUCUGUUAUCACAGAAGUAAGAGCAGGUACUGCCCCUGCCCUGCCUUGACUCCAGCCGCCACCGGCCACGUCCAUCAUGCCUGCAGGAGGGAGAUGGCAGCCCUGGGACCUGGCACCAUGGCAUAGAGGAAGGUCUGCAGCUGGGUCAGGAAACUGAGGGUCCUUGGGGGACAGACAAGGACAGGCUGGGCUCCCAGCCACCCCAAUAGGCUCAUUUACGAACCCACAUGACAGAACCCUGUAAGUUGUUAACUCAUGAAAAAGACACUUCUAAGGGGUGACAGCCCGGCUCUGCCGUCCACUGACCUGUGUUCCCGUAGGGAGCUGAUAGCUGGUUCUUUGCUUACAACAAGAACUUUGAUUUUACCCAAGGACUUGAUCUGGGUUGGCUUUGCAGAAGGACCUGCAGCUUCAGUCAGUAAAGGGAUUUGAUCUUCAAAACCAGA